Molecule: ribosomal RNA, 502 nt
Filed under: uncultured bacterium
Lineage: Bacteria
Description: partial 16S ribosomal RNA
Rfam family: Bacterial small subunit ribosomal RNA
Source: RNAcentral
GACGAACGCUGGCGGCGUGCCUAAUACAUGCAAGUCGAACGAACCGCGACUAAGUGCUUGCACUAAGUGAAGGCGAGUGGCGAACGGGUGAGUAACACGUGGGUAACCUACCUCAUAGUGGGGGAUAACAGUCGGAAACGACUGCUAAAACCGCAACGGACAUCGGAUCACAUCAUCCAGUGAGGAAAGGUUGCGCAAGCUAUCGCUAAGAGAUGGACCCGCGGCGCAUUAGCUAGUUGGUAGGGUAAAGGCCCACCAAGGCGACGAUGCGUAGCCGACCUGAGAGGGUGAUCGGCCACAUUGGGACUGAGACACGGCCCAGACUCCUACGGGAGGCAGCAGUAGGGAAUCUUCCGCAAUGGACGCAAGUCUGACGGAGCAACGCCGCGUGAGUGAAGAAGGUCUUCGGAUCGUAAAGCUCUGUUGUUAGAGAAGAACAGCGCAUAGUUUAACUGCUACGCGUGUGACGGUACCUAACCAGAAAGCCACGGCUAACUUCGUG